RNAcentral lists this long non-coding RNA (388 nucleotides) under Fukomys damarensis (Damara mole-rat). Its description in RNAcentral is "lncRNA (ENSFDAG00000029489.1)". The record is from RNAcentral. Lineage: Eukaryota; Metazoa; Chordata; Mammalia; Rodentia; Bathyergidae.
ACAAGCAGAUGGAUAAUUAAUGGGAUCUUGUCACCAGCAGAUUUUGAUGACUUCACUACUAGGCCAUAUCUUUGAUGAAUGGGGAAGCUGGCUGAAGAGUGGGCUGGUUGUGGUGCUGGAGAUGGCCUUGUGCAUGCUAGGCAACGACUCUAUCCUUGUGCUGCACCUUAGACUCAUGGCACUGAACCUAUGGCAAGUGUGCAGAAGUGGACUAUUUGUAUCAUUGAAACAUCUAAAAGAUACAUCCUACUGUGCCUUUGUUGAGGCAACUUAUGGCUCACUGCUCACCCAGCGGUCUUCUAUUCUCAACAACUCCUAGGUUCGGAGUGAUGUCCUUCUGGAUCCCGGCAUUACCCUGUUGUCUAGGUGGGGUUCUCGUUGGGCCCUG